Molecule: long non-coding RNA, 320 nt
Organism: Pieris napi
Lineage: Eukaryota; Metazoa; Arthropoda; Insecta; Lepidoptera; Pieridae
Exons: 2
Source: RefSeq, a predicted model, not a curated record
UUAGCGAUUUUCAUAUGGCAACAAAAAAAAAAUUCAGUUAUCAACUGAAAUUUCGAGGAAUUGUUUUUGUUUUGGCUUCAAAUUUCCUUUAAAAAGUGGUGAAAAUGUCGAAGAAACCUCUUCGAUCGCAAGCAAGAAGUAUUGUUUUCAAUGUUUAUCAAAGAAUACUUGAUCAACAAGGUGCAGGACAUGCACAAUCAUCGAUAUUGAGCUAUGUGCAAGUGUUGACUGGGGUUUCUAAUACUAUCAUAAGACGAAUUGUUGCCGAGGGCAGAUCUAACAGAGGCGUAUUUAGUACGCCCGGUAAAAAGAGGAAAGGU